AGUGAACGCUGGCGGUAGGCCUAACACAUGCAAGUCGAACGGCAGCACAGUAAGAGCUUGCUCUUACGGGUGGCGAGUGGCGGACGGGUGAGGAAUACAUCGGAAUCUACUUUUUCGUGGGGGAUAACGUAGGGAAACUUACGCUAAUACCGCAUACGACCUACGGGUGAAAGCAGGGGAUCUUCGGACCUUGCGCGAUUGAAUGAGCCGAUGUCGGAUUAGCUAGUUGGCGGGGUAAAGGCCCACCAAGGCGACGAUCCGUAGCUGGUCUGAGAGGAUGAUCAGCCACACUGGAACUGGGACACGGUCCAGAGUCCUACGGGAGGCAGCAGUGGGGAAUAUUGGACAAUGGGCGCAAGCCUGAUCCAGCCAUACCGCGUGGGUUAAGAAGGCCUUCGGGUUGUAAAGCCCUUUUGUUGGGAAAGAAAAGCAGCAGGUUAAUACCCCGCUGUUCUGACGGUACCCAAAGAAUAAGCACCGGCUAACUUCGUG
RNAcentral lists this ribosomal RNA (492 nucleotides) under uncultured bacterium. Its description in RNAcentral is "partial 16S ribosomal RNA". It matches the Rfam family "Bacterial small subunit ribosomal RNA", at positions 29 to 507 of the family's 1533-position model. The record is from RNAcentral.